RNAcentral lists this ribosomal RNA (440 nucleotides) under uncultured bacterium. RNAcentral describes it as "partial 16S ribosomal RNA". It matches the Rfam family "Bacterial small subunit ribosomal RNA", at positions 338 to 795 of the family's 1533-position model. The record is from RNAcentral.
CCUACGGUAGGCAGCAGUGGGGAAUAUUGCACAAUGGGGGAAACCCUGAUGCAGCGACGCCGCGUGAGUGAAGAAGUAAUUCGGUAUGUAAAGCUCUAUCAGCAGGGAAGCAAAUGACGGUACCUGAGUAAGUAGCCCCGGCUAACUACGUGCCAGCAGCCGCGGUAAUAAGUCGGGGGCCGGGGUUAUACGGAUUUACUGGGUGUAAAGGGAGCGUAGACGGCAAUGCAAGUCUGGAGUGAAAGGCGGGGGCUCAACCCCCGGACUGCCCUGGAAACUGUACGGCUGGAGUGCAGGAGAGGUAAGCGGAAUUCCUAGUGUAGCGGUGAAAUGCGUAGAUAUUAGGAAGAACACCAGUGGCGAAGGCGGCUUACUGGACUGUAACUGACGUUGAGGCUCGAAAGCGUGGGGAGCAAACAGGAUUAGAUACCCGUGUAGUC